RNAcentral lists this non-coding RNA (39 nucleotides) under Actinokineospora inagensis DSM 44258. RNAcentral's name for it is "L31-Actinobacteria ribosomal protein leader". It matches the Rfam family "L31-Actinobacteria ribosomal protein leader". Lineage: Bacteria; Bacillati; Actinomycetota; Actinomycetes; Pseudonocardiales; Pseudonocardiaceae. The record is from RNAcentral.
CCGGCUCCGGUUCACCCCGACCCAGGGGACCCGGCGGCC